AAUAUCAAAGAACACACGUAAAGCUUCACCAGCCCUGGGUUUGAGCAUGCGCGGGUCAUCAUAAUUUAUAUGUUUCGAUGACAACGACGACAACAACAACACAGAUCCAGCAGGCGGGGGGCUGCAUGUGUAGAACAAGUAAGCAGCUCACAGAUGCAGGGUGGUGAUCAGCGUGAGGACGCUGCAGAAGCUGCUCAGACGGGAAAUCAUGGAAGAGCGGAUUUUUACUGCUGUGAGGUCAUCGACGGCCUGGAACAGUAAGAGGACAGGUACAGGCUGAUUGACUCGUUUCACUGAUUGUGGCCUUUUUUAUGGACCAAGCGUGGCCUGUUUUCUGUUACAGCUCCCUGCUGCACUAAGUGGAGCAGCUCUCGUGCAUGAAGUUCCUCGUUUGAUCGUUUCCAGCGCAGAUCUUUAAUCAUCCGGUCAGCUGACACUGCAGAAGUCACCUGGAUCAGUGAUGAAACGUCCUGACGACUGGAUGGACUUCCUGGGAGCGCCCUACCUGAUCACUGCGUGUGGAUGGAGAGGAGAGUGUUCCUCUGAAGUGUCUGAAUGCAGAGUGAAAGACGAACAAAGACGAAGAUCUUUAUCCACCAGACUUUUAAUUUGAAGAGACAGCUGAUUAUUCAGAGCUUUACACCCUUUCAGUAUAAAAGCCUUUAAAUGAGUUAAACGUGAGAAAAAAAGCAGACGACAGAAUAAAUAAUGUGACCGUCAGAGGGAGCAGAAACGCAACGUAAACAGGAUAUGAUGUCAUCAAAGGAACAGGAAUGGCUCUUUGGUCGACAAUUAGCUAAAGGAACUAAAAACCGACAGAAGGAGGAAGAUGACGAUGACGAGGUUUUUUGGUAAUCAGCUGAUUUCUGACAUCAGGCUUAAAGGGUCAGUUCACCUGUUGAGGGGCGGAACUAAUAAACUGCAGGCCAGCGUGGAUGCUCGAGCAGACACCAAGCUCGCGUGAACUGACCCUUUAACGAGUCAUGCUGGUUUCCACAGAAACGAACUUAAAUGACAGCAGAGAUAAGACACUGCGAUUGGCUGAUUGUCUGAAACCCGUGUGAACCGACCCCUGCUGUGGUGCGUUUGUGGGCAGAGUGCGGAGGUCCUAGAGUGCGUGCUCUCGCGGCGGCAGCAUGUGCAGCACCUGGUCGAGCAGCUGCAGCGCUCGGUGCAGGUGCACCUCCAGCCAGCAGGGGGUGUCCUUGAUGCUCUGCCGUGGGUAGUCACACCCCCACCCUUUGACGAAGCUCAGCCGCACGAUGCACAGCCUGCGGAGGUCGUCCACGCCCAGACCGGCCGCUGAGCGCACACCUGCGGGAGGAAGCACAGCUGUGUUGGGCAGGUGAUACUCACUGACAGCAGGCGCGAUUCCUCCCACACUGUUCGGACCGGGAAUUGCA
Molecule: long non-coding RNA, 1403 nt
Organism: Haplochromis burtoni (Burton's mouthbrooder)
Lineage: Eukaryota; Metazoa; Chordata; Actinopteri; Cichliformes; Cichlidae
Exons: 3
Source: RefSeq, a predicted model, not a curated record